UAACGCGAAGAACCUUACCAGGUCUUGACAUCUUCUGCUAACCUAAGAGAUUAGGCGUUCCCUUCGGGGACGGAAUGACAGGUGGUGCAUGGUUGUCGUCAGCUCGUGUCGUGAGAUGUUGGGUUAAGUCCCGCAACGAGCGCAACCCUUAUUGUCAGUUGCCAGCAUUUAGUUGGGCACUCUGGCGAGACUGCCGGUGACAAACCGGAGGAAGGUGGGGAUGACGUCAAAUCAUCAUGCCCCUUAUGACCUGGGCUACACACGUGCUACAAUGGACGGUACAACGAGUCGCGAAACCGCGAGGUCAAGCUAAUCUCUUAAAGCCGUUCUCAGUUCGGAUUGUAGGCUGCAACUCGCCUACAUGAAGUUGGAAUCGCUAGUAAUCGUGAAUCAGC
This 395-nucleotide ribosomal RNA is filed under the name uncultured bacterium. Its description in RNAcentral is "bacterial SSU rRNA". It matches the Rfam family "Bacterial small subunit ribosomal RNA", at positions 957 to 1353 of the family's 1533-position model. The record is from RNAcentral.